RNAcentral lists this ribosomal RNA (585 nucleotides) under Pseudomonas sp. StFLB280. RNAcentral's name for it is "bacterial SSU rRNA". It matches the Rfam family "Bacterial small subunit ribosomal RNA", at positions 102 to 683 of the family's 1533-position model. The record is from RNAcentral. Lineage: Bacteria; Pseudomonadati; Pseudomonadota; Gammaproteobacteria; Pseudomonadales; Pseudomonadaceae. RNAcentral also lists the same sequence under 4 other names.
ACGGGUGAGUAAUGCCUAGGAAUCUGCCUGGUAGUGGGGGAUAACGUUCGGAAACGAACGCUAAUACCGCAUACGUCCUACGGGAGAAAGCAGGGGACCUUCGGGCCUUGCGCUAUCAGAUGAGCCUAGGUCGGAUUAGCUAGUUGGUGAGGUAAUGGCUCACCAAGGCGACGAUCCGUAACUGGUCUGAGAGGAUGAUCAGUCACACUGGAACUGAGACACGGUCCAGACUCCUACGGGAGGCAGCAGUGGGGAAUAUUGGACAAUGGGCGAAAGCCUGAUCCAGCCAUGCCGCGUGUGUGAAGAAGGUCUUCGGAUUGUAAAGCACUUUAAGUUGGGAGGAAGGGUUGUAAAUUAAUACUCUGCUGUUUUGACGUUACCGACAGAAUAAGCACCGGCUAACUCUGUGCCAGCAGCCGCGGUAAUACAGAGGGUGCAAGCGUUAAUCGGAAUUACUGGGCGUAAAGCGCGCGUAGGUGGUUUGUUAAGUUGGAUGUGAAAUCCCCGGGCUCAACCUGGGAACUGCAUUCAAAACUGACUGACUAGAGUAUGGUAGAGGGUGGUGGAAUUUCCUGUGUAGCGGUG